This 430-nucleotide ribosomal RNA is filed under the name bacterium. RNAcentral's name for it is "partial 16S ribosomal RNA". It matches the Rfam family "Bacterial small subunit ribosomal RNA", at positions 355 to 776 of the family's 1533-position model. The record is from RNAcentral.
UGGGGAAUAUUGGACAAUGGGCGGAAGCCUCAUCCAGCCAUGCCGCGUGUGUGAAGAAGGCCUUUUGGUUGUAAAGCACUUUAAGCGAGGAGGAGGCUACUUGGAUUAAUACUCUAGGAUAGUGGACGUUACUCGCAGAAUAAGCACCGGCUAACUCUGUGCCAGCAGCCGCGGUAAUACAGAGGGUGCGAGCGUUAAUCGGAUUUACUGGGCGUAAAGCGUGCGUAGGCGGCUUCUUAAGUCGGAUGUGAAAUCCCUGAGCUUAACUUAGGAAUUGCAUUCGAUACUGGGAAGCUAGAGUAUGGGAGAGGAUGGUAGAAUUCCAGGUGUAGCGGUGAAAUGCGUAGAGAUCUGGAGGAAUACCGAUGGCGAAGGCAGCCAUCUGGCCUAAUACUGACGCUGAGGUACGAAAGCAUGGGGAGCAAACAGG